UCGGGGUACACGAGCGGCGAACGGGUGAGUAACACGUGGGUGAUCUGCCCUGCACUUCGGGAUAAGCCUGGGAAACUGGGUCUAAUACCGGAUAUGACCUUCGGCUGCAUGGCUGAGGGUGGAAAGGUUUACUGGUGCAGGAUGGGCCCGCGGCCUAUCAGCUUGUUGGUGGGGUAAUGGCCUACCAAGGCGACGACGGGUAGCCGACCUGAGAGGGUGACCGGCCACACUGGGACUGAGACACGGCCCAGACUCCUACGGGAGGCAGCAGUGGGGAAUAUUGCACAAUGGGCGAAAGCCUGAUGCAGCGACGCCGCGUGAGGGAUGACGGCCUUCGGGUUGUAAACCUCUUUCAGCAGGGACGAAGCGAAAGUGACGGUACCUGCAGAAGAAGCACCGGCCAACUACGUGCCAGCAGCCGCGGUAAUACGUAGGGUGCAAGCGUUGUCCGGAAUUACUGGGCGUAAAGAGCUCGUAGGCGGUUUGUCGCGUCGUCUGUGAAAACUCGAGGCUCAACCUCGAGCUUGCAGGCGAUACGGGCAGACUUGAGUACUGCAGGGGAGACUGGAAUUCCUGGUGUAGCGGUGAAAUGCGCAGAUAUCAGGAGGAACACCGGUGGCGAAGGCGGGUCUCUGGGCAGUAACUGACGCUGAGGAGCGAAAGCGUGGGUAGCGAACAGGAUUAGAUACCCUGGUAGUCCACGCCGUAAACGGUGGGCGCUAGGUGUGGG
This 730-nucleotide ribosomal RNA is filed under the name Rhodococcus wratislaviensis. Its description in RNAcentral is "bacterial SSU rRNA". It matches the Rfam family "Bacterial small subunit ribosomal RNA", at positions 82 to 826 of the family's 1533-position model. The record is from RNAcentral. Lineage: Bacteria; Bacillati; Actinomycetota; Actinomycetes; Mycobacteriales; Nocardiaceae.